CACUGAUCAGACCCAGAGCUCAGCUUCUUCUCAGUCUCAUUUGUCUACCUUUCCUGUAAUUCGCCGUGUGCUGCCGUGGCUCACAGGAGACUAGGACUCACUGCAGAGGUUCUGUACUGAGGACUGAACCAUGCACGCCAAAUAAGCACUGCACUGAGCUACAUCUUUGGCCUUUUUUCAUUUUGAGACAGGGUGUCUCUAAGUUGCCAAGGCUAGCCUUCAACUUGAGAUUCACCUGCCUCAACCUUGCCAGAGUUGGGGUUAUACGUGUGUGUCAUCACAGCUGGCCAAGCAUGUUUUUAAUGCACAUAUACCAGAUUUUCGUAUAACCUAAAAUGAUCAAAGUAACAAUAUUGAGUCUACCAGUGUGACAAUGGAAGAAAAAAUUGGCCCAAGAUAUGAACUUCACCAAAGAAUAUAUUUGGAUGGGUAAAUUAAAAGGUGCUCAACAGCUGAUUAUUAGGGAAAUGAACUAUUUUUUUUUUGGUACCAGGGAUCGAACUGAGGACCCUGUGCUUGCAAGGCAGGCAUAGUGCCACUGAGUUAAAUCCCCAGCCUGAGAAAUGAACUUUAAAGCUACCAAAGGGUGCUGCUAUAUUUAAUAAAAUGUCUCACAGGGCCGGGGAUUUAGCUCAGUGGUUUCGCCGCCUGCUGUGCAAGCGCAAGGACCCGAGAUCGAUCUCCAGUACCUAAAAACAAACAAAGACUCACAUGUAGAAGUCUGAUCAUGAUACAGGUUGGAAGGAAUGGAGGGGAACUGGAGCUCUCAGAUGCUAUUAGUGGACACGUAGGAAUCUAUAACCACAUGGGGAAAAUCUGGCAGUUUCUUCAAAAGCAAAGCAUGCGCCUACCCAAUGAUGCAGCCAUCCCAGCCCAAGAUCGUCACCAAGCGGGACGAAAGCACAUGUCCAUACAGACUUGUUUGUGAACAGCCAGGGCUGCUUCCCUGUCUCAGCUAAGCGCUGGAAUCCACUGGAACGCCCACCAUGUGAAUGCAUAAGGAAACAGUGGUUUACCCUGGAGAAGGAGCCCUUCCCACCAGGAGGCAGGAAUGACCCACUGAUACAACAACACGGACAAAUCUCUAAAUAAUCAAACUGGUUCAGAGUGGCAACAAAGAUGACAUGCUAGGGCUGGGGAUUUAGCUCAGUGGUUUCUUCGCCUGCUGCGCAAGCACAAGGGCCCAAGUUCGAUCCCCGGUACCAAAAAAAAAAAAAAAAGAUGACAUGCUGUAUGGCUCCACUUUUGUAAAAUGGAAAGGCAAACCCAUAGUCACAGGAAGGGGUGGUUGUUGCGUGGUGGGUAUGCAGGGAAGAGAAGAGGAGGGCCCACAGAAGGGACGAGGGUGAUGUUUAUUAUGGUGGGGCUUGGGAAGCUGUAACAAGUGUACACAGUUGGGAAAAUGGAUCAAAAUAAGGGCAGAAGGUGUAGCUCAAUGGUAGAAUGCUUGCUUAGCACUCAUGGAGCCCUGGGUUGGUCUCUAGCAUUGCAAAAAAAAAAAAAAAAAUCAUGCUGUUUCAAUAUGUGCAGUUUACAAGAUGUAUUAAAAAUAUUCAGUGACUCUUUAAACAAAAACUUACUGCAGUAAAAGAUACAUUGCCAUGAAUCCCCCUCAAAAUCCUCCCCCUAGGGCCGGGGAUUUAGCUCAGUGGUUCUGGUGCCUGCUCAAAAGCGCAAGGUCCCAAGUUUGAUCCCCAGUACCAGAAAAAAAAAACACAAAAACCCUCCCCCUUGCUUCAAAUACCAUGUAUUUCAUUGUUCUUGGCACUUUCUGAAGCAGUUCUGGAAGUUUUUUUAUUUUUUUUGGUACCAGGGAUCACUCUCAGGACCCUGGGAUUGAGAGGUAGGUGGUGGAGCCACUGAGCUAAAUCCCCGGCCCUGGAAGUUCUCUUUCAAGGGUGUCUUUAUGAGAUGGGAUCAAAAAUACAGUGAAUGCUGCUGCCAAACACCAUCCAACAGAAAGGGUCCUAAAAACAUGAUGCUGCGUCCUCAUCCAUCUCAGUCAUGGAUUUGACACUGUGCACUUCCGGCUCUUCCUCAGUCAAAAUGACCAUGACAGGGAAAUGCUUUGGAUCAAUUCAGGACAUCAGAGCAGCCACAACAGUGCAACUAAAGACACUCAGGAAAGAGGACUCCAGAAUGGCUUCAGAAAGCAGCAAGAACGAAGGGGUCAGUGUACUUAAAGGGAGGGGGAUUAAUGGUAAUGUCUUUUACUAUAUUUUUUUAAAAAUGAAGUAUUUGGGGCUGGGGAUUUAGCUCAGUGGUUUCACUGCCUGCUGCGCAAGCACAAGGACCCAAGUUCAAUCCCCAGUACCAAAAAACAAAACAAAAAAUAAAAUAUUCAAGAAAAAAG
This 2353-nucleotide long non-coding RNA is filed under the name Heterocephalus glaber (naked mole-rat). Its description in RNAcentral is "lncRNA (ENSHGLG00100041578.1)". The record is from RNAcentral. Lineage: Eukaryota; Metazoa; Chordata; Mammalia; Rodentia; Bathyergidae.